CAUUAUCACCAAUCAAGCCUGGCUUGCUGUUGGAUCUCUUGUCGUUAAUAGACAGGUCCCAAAGAUAAUGACGGUGUCAGUUGGACCCUAGAUGCAACGAGCUCUCAUCAGCACGCAUAUUAGUGGCCUUUUGACCCGGUCUUUUUAACCCAAUCUUUAAGGUUGACCUCGGAUCAGGUAGGAAUACCCGCUGAACUUAA
This 200-nucleotide unclassified non-coding RNA is filed under the name soil metagenome. Its description in RNAcentral is "partial contains internal transcribed spacer 2 and large subunit ribosomal RNA". The record is from RNAcentral.